Molecule: ribosomal RNA, 253 nt
Filed under: uncultured bacterium
Lineage: Bacteria
Description: partial 16S ribosomal RNA
Rfam family: Bacterial small subunit ribosomal RNA
Source: RNAcentral
GACAGAGGGUGCAAACGUUGUUCGGAUUUACUGGGCGUAAAGCGCGUGUAGGCGGCUUUGCAAGUCGGAUGUGAAAUCCCACGGCUCAACCGUGGAAGUGCAUCCGAAACUGCAUCGCUCGAGUCUCGGAGAGGAAGGUGGAAUGCUUGGUGUAGAGGUGAAAUUCGUAGAUAUCUGGAGGAACACCGAUGGCGAAGGCAGCCCCCUGGGCUAACACUGACGCUGAUGCACGAAAGCGUGGGGAGCAAACAGG